Cryptomeria japonica (Japanese cedar) is the source of this 971-nucleotide long non-coding RNA. RefSeq lists it as uncharacterized. The record is from RefSeq and is a predicted model, not a curated record. Lineage: Eukaryota; Viridiplantae; Streptophyta; Pinopsida; Cupressales; Cupressaceae. The transcript is spliced from 3 exons.
UUACCGUUGAAAAAAAGCACGGAAAAAACAUGCAGUACCGUGGCCAACGUUCCAAAUCGCAUAGGUUUUCAUUGGCCAUGGAGCGUUUAGAUGCAUAUUAGGCGGCAUGCAAAAUUUCAGCUCUUCAACUCAGGUUGCAAGAGAUAAGUAAUGGAAAGUUAUGCAUGUGGGUUUGCUUUCUCAGCCCGCAGAAGGACAGUAGCAUACAUUUUUCAACAGCUUUGGCACCAACCUUUUUCGAGCAAAAUUUUGAUGUGGAACGUCAUUGCCACCAACAGAUAUACCAAUUUCGUCUGCAGUGAACAACAGAUGAAAGAAAAAUGCAUUUGGAAAGUGUGAAAAAGCUUUAUCACACAUGCAUUGCCUCCCAGAGAUUUUAUUGGUGCAUUAAAAGUUUGUGCAGCAGAAACUGAUUUACCAGCUUUAAUAGCAGAAGUGAAGAAAGCAUUACCCAUUAGAGGGAUAAUUCAGCCUAACUUUGACCAAGUUAUAUAGUAUGCAGUUUUUGAUGGUAUUUUUGCCCAGGCUGCUACUACUUACUUUUUCUGAUUUGUAGAUUGAGGGUAUGAAAAUGCUGAAGGAUUCAAAAAAAAUGUUUCAUAUCUUAAUUUAUUAACGUGGGAUUAUGUUUAAGUUAUUUGAGAUAAAUUAAGUAAAGAGCAAUGUUGUCCAUUAUAUUGUAUUUUGCAAUGAUUUAUUUGAUUUUUUUAUGGCACAAUUAAUUAGUUCUCUUCUAUCCAUUUACAGAUAUUGAUGAAUGCUUAGAUCUUGGUUUGAAUGAUUGUUAUCCUUCAUCGUAAGGAAGAAUAUGUGAAAAUACAGAGGACUCAUAUAACUGUUCAUGUCCCCAUAGCAGUUACAAUGGCACUAGGAAUGGCUCACUUGUACUUCUCCAAUCCAUAAUAUUUUGUAUAAUCAUAUAGGUGGCAAUUGAAAUACAACUUUUAUUUUAAUGAUUACAUUAUAUUUUA